This 450-nucleotide ribosomal RNA is filed under the name uncultured bacterium. RNAcentral describes it as "partial 16S ribosomal RNA". It matches the Rfam family "Bacterial small subunit ribosomal RNA", at positions 354 to 796 of the family's 1533-position model. The record is from RNAcentral.
GUGGGGAAUCUUCCGCAAUGGACGAAAGUCUGACGGAGCGACGCCGCGUGAGUGAAGAAGGCCUUCGGGUCGUAAAGCUCUGUCAUCAGGGACGAACGGCCGGUGGAGUGGAAAGCCACCGGAUUGACGGUACCUGAGAAGGAAGCCACGGCUAACUACGUGCCAGCAGCCGCGGUAAUACGUAGGUGGCAAGCGUUGUCCGGAAUUAUUGGGCGUAAAGCGCGCGCAGGUGGGAUCUUAAGUCCAUUUUUAAAGUUCGGAGCUCAACUCCGUGAUGGGAUUGAAACUGGGAUUCUUGAGUACCGGAGAGGAAAGCGGAAUUCCCCGUGUAGCGGUGAAAUGCGUAGAUAUGGGGAGGAACACCAGUGGCGAAGGCGGCUUUCUGGACGGUGUCUGACACUGAGGCGCGAAAGCCAGGGGAGCGAACGGGAUUAGAAACCCCUGUAGUCC